Molecule: long non-coding RNA, 699 nt
Filed under: Sus scrofa (pig)
Lineage: Eukaryota; Metazoa; Chordata; Mammalia; Artiodactyla; Suidae
Description: lncRNA (ENSSSCG00015023757.1)
Source: RNAcentral
UUUAUUUGCUUCUGCAUAGAUGCACCGGAAUAUCUUUAGGAGAAUCUAUGCACUUGUUUUAACUGAGAAGAAUUUUUUUUUUUUUUUUUUUAACCCAAGCUGACUACUCAGGUCCGCCAUAGACUCAAAAUAGUGUCCAGUUGUGAAAUGAGCAGUAGAAAUGAACCAAACCUCUGGUGUCUUUUUCUGAGGAUGUAAAGCAGAGAGAGGCCUCUACUUUAUUUCCUCUCUGUUUAGAGCAUUCAGUCAAUAGUACCAGCUUCUUUGGCUCCAAGUGUGGGAUUCAGGAGGUGUCCUGAAUCAUCUGAAGUGGCAGCCCAGGGCUGUUCUGAACCAAGCUGAGAAAGUGGCACAAUGCUGUGUUGCAGGAAGUGAAAGAUGCCCCUUAGCCUCUGUGUCACUUGCUCAUGCUAGUGACACAGUCAGCAACUACAGAUACAGAGAAGACAGCCACACAGGCUUGGAAGCAGGCAUUGGCCUUUGGGACAAGGAACCCCAGUGGCCCUCACUCCCAGAGCAUGGCCUAAAAAGGUAUGUGUGUGUGUGUGUGUGUGUGUGUGUGUGUGUGUGUGUGUACAUGCAUGUGUAUACACGUGCACAUGUGCACAUGCAUGUGUGUACAUGUGUGUGCAUGUGUGAGUGCUGUGGUUGGGCACAUCACCAUGAGUAUGUUGGAGCAAGGAUUUUCUUUUCUCAAGC